Molecule: transfer RNA, 76 nt
Filed under: Desulfonatronospira thiodismutans ASO3-1
Lineage: Bacteria; Pseudomonadati; Thermodesulfobacteriota; Desulfovibrionia; Desulfovibrionales; Desulfonatronovibrionaceae
Also listed under: 1 other name
Description: tRNA-Phe
Rfam family: tRNA
About the family: Transfer RNA (tRNA) molecules are approximately 80 nucleotides in length. Their secondary structure includes four short double-helical elements and three loops (D, anti-codon, and T loops).
Source: RNAcentral
GCCGAGGUAGCUCAGUCGGUAGAGCAGGGGACUGAAAAUCCCCGUGUGGGCGGUUCGAUUCCGUCCCUCGGCACCA